UAUAUUUACAUAUUACGAUGGUCUAAUUAACCAUCGAGUUCUCAAGAAAAUGAAAUUUCUAGAUGCCAGGUCUUGGCCCAGAGAACCCUAAUCUACACAAUACAUCAUCUAUGACAUGCUCUUACAAUUCCAAUAAGACAAACGCAGUUGCAUUCCAAGUUAGGAAGAACUUGUGUUCUCAUGCAUAACCCAGCACUAGAAGGUGACAAAAGACAAUUGGCCUCGUUUAAGGAAGGUGUGUGAUGGUCCCGUUUCAACACUUCUAGAGGACCAAUACCAUGUGGUGGCUUUAUGGUGCUUAACAGAAGUAAGUGUUUGAUGUGUUAACACCCGGUAUUAUUAGUACUCCUGUUGACAAAGACCUCUGACAUUAACUGUUGCCUUGACCCAAGAGUGAUAAGGCUCACUCACCAUCGUCAGACUCCCGGUCCUCAUCCAAUUUCUUACUUUGUUUACACGCCACACACGUGCAGGUCUCUCUCUCUCUCUGAAUGUUGAGUGGCAGGACGUGACCAAGGAGCCACCUCCACAAGAUUACUCUUAGUGUUGCAACCCGUCUUCCUGCUACAUUCAUCAUUUCAGAAUUUAAGGCGAUGUCUUGGCCGGUGAUCUGUGUGGGUGAGAAAGACACCCAGUCCCCCCACGCCCACACUGCCUCCCCACCAUCGUCCACAGGGUCGGGCUGCUCAUCACCAUCACAUUCAUAGCACCAGUGAUAGGAAAGCAAAGAUGUAUAUACAGAAGAAACAGAAGCUUUACAAGGGUGGCUGCAGGAUGUGUGGACAGCGAAAAUCACACCAAGAAGAACCAAAGAAGACACACCCGCCACUUCUAUACAAAGGUCGCGAAGUGGCCCAGGAAUCUCCAGCUAAAAAUACGCGCCAUACCGGAGCAGUGCGGCCCAGCGUGCACCCCGCCAACUGCAACCAACAUUUCGCACACUGAUGAUGGAAACUGCAUCUCUGAAACGUUUGCAAUUGCAAUAAUGAAGUUCUCAUCCGCAAUGGUUUUCUUCUUCCUAAUAAGAUUUCGUUUCCCACCGGACUCACCUAUAACCCAUUACAUAUUGAAGAAAUGUGGAAAGAAUACCCUGGACCUCUACACGUUUCUGUUCCAAGAAAGUGGAAAAAGACUAAAAUUCCUCGAUAUAUGAAUAUAUGUAUAUAUAUGUAUACAUAUAUAUGUAUGCAUAUUAUAAAUAUAUUUAUGUAUAUUAUAUAUAUAUACAUAUAAUACAUAUAUAUAUAUUAUAUACAUAUAGAUACAUAGAGAUACAUGGAUAAAUAGAUAACCAGAUAGGUGUGUGUGUGUUUAUAUAUAUUCUGUAUAUGCAUGGCAACGACCCCUGAACCUUGAAGUGAUUUGGAGUCCCCUCCACUCAACGAUGGAACGCUCUGACUGCUCUUCCAUCAGCCACUUGGAUGCUUCUUGUAUUUAGAUUUAUCAUAUUUUUGUAUAUUGUCUUUUCCUUAAAAUGUCUGUAUAUUCGCUGAUUAAGCAAACAUACGAAUAAAAAAUGAAAGGCUUAAAGAUUACGUCAUAAUACAUAUUAAAAAGAGAAAGAGAAACUCUGUCUAGUGAGCGUGACGAUGAGGAAGGCGGCCCAACCAAGGCCCGCCAUCACGUGCAUGUUGACGAAGGGGGAUUCAUACUCAGUGAACGUUACAAGCAUAGAUACAGUGAUACUAAUUACGGUCACUGAUAUAUCAGAACAGUUCCUUCUCUCAGACAUUUUGGUAAUCAGUAUUGUUUAAGUAGACCUUUAAUUAAUAGUCAUCUAAAACAACCCUCUUAUCUUAACCCAAUGCCGUCGGGGAAAAUGAACAAAAAAUGGGGAAAAUGCUGUGCCCGUUUUCUAUAUUUUUUGUGAAAUGUCUGCUCAUAGAUGGCUCUGCUAGUGCUUAGCC
Long non-coding RNA from Penaeus chinensis, 1907 nucleotides. RefSeq lists it as uncharacterized. The record is from RefSeq and is a predicted model, not a curated record. The transcript has 4 exons. NCBI's taxonomy places the organism in Eukaryota, Metazoa, Arthropoda, Malacostraca, Decapoda, Penaeidae.